Molecule: ribosomal RNA, 450 nt
Filed under: uncultured bacterium
Lineage: Bacteria
Description: partial 16S ribosomal RNA
Rfam family: Bacterial small subunit ribosomal RNA
Source: RNAcentral
GUGGGGAAUAUUCCGCAAUGGACGAAAGUCUGACGGAGCAACGCCGCGUGAGUGAUGAAGGUUUUCGGACUGUAAAGCUCUGUUGUUUAGGACGAAAGUGCCUGUUGCAAAUAGUUACAGGUAUUGACGGUACUGAACGAGGAAGCCACGGCUAACUACGUGCCAGCAGCCGCGGUAAUACGUAGGUGGCAAGCGUUGUCCGGAAUUAUUGGGCGUAAAGAGCAUGUAGGCGGGAAUCUAAGUCUGUUGUGAAAAUGCGGGGCUCAACCCCGUAUUGCGAUGGAAGCUGGGUUUCUUGAGUGCAGGAGAGGAAAGGGGAAUUCCCAGUGUAGCGGUGAAAUGCGUAGAUAUUGGGAGGAACACCAGUGGCGAAGGCGCCUUUCUGGACUGUGUCUGACGCUGAGAUGCGAAAGCCAGGGUAGCGAACGGGAUUAGAUACCCGAGUAGUCC